RNAcentral lists this unclassified non-coding RNA (338 nucleotides) under soil metagenome. Its description in RNAcentral is "partial contains 5.8S ribosomal RNA, internal transcribed spacer 2, and large subunit ribosomal RNA". The stretch from base 6 to 121 matches the Rfam family "5.8S ribosomal RNA", at positions 39 to 154 of the family's 154-position model. The record is from RNAcentral.
GAUGAAAGAACGUAGUGAAAUGCGAUAAGUAGUGUGAAUUGCAGAAUUCAGUGAAUCAUCGAAUCUUUGAACGCACAUUGCGCCCCAUGGUAUUCCGUGGGGCAUGCCUGUUCGAGCGUCAUUUACCCCCUCAAGCUCCGCUUGGUGUUGGGCGUCUGUCCCGCUUCGCGCGCGGACUCGCCCCAAAGGUAUUGGCAGCGGUCGUGCCAGCUUCUCGCGCAGCACAUUGCGCUUCUCGAGGCACCGGUGGGCCCGCGUCCAUCAAGCUCACCCCCCCAGUUUGACCUCGGAUCAGGUAGGGAUACCCGCUGAACUUAAGCAUAUCAAUAAGCGGAGGA